AGCGGCGAGCGAGCGGGAAGAGCUCAAAUUUAUAAUCUGGCACCUUCGGUGUCCGAGUUGUAAUCUCUAGAAAUGUUUUCCGCGUUGGACCGCACACAAGUCUGUUGGAAUACAGCGGCAUAGUGGUGAGACCCCCGUAUAUGGUGCGGACGCCCAGCGCUUUGUGAUACAUUUUCGAAGAGUCGAGUUGUUUGGGAAUGCAGCUCAAAUUGGGUGGUAAAUUCCAUCUAAAGCUAAAUAUUGGCGAGAGACCGAUAGCGAACAAGUACCGUGAGGGAAAGAUGAAAAGCACUUUGGAAAGAGAGUUAACAGUACGUGAAAUUGUUGGAAGGGAAACGCUUGAAGUCAGACUUGCUUGCCGAGCAAUCGGUUUGCAGGCCAGCAUCAGUUUUCCGGGAUGGAUAAUGGUAGAGAGAAGGUAGCAGUUUCGGCUGUGUUAUAGCUCUCUGCUGGAUACAUCUUGGGGGACUGAGGAACGCAGUGUGCCUUUGGCGGGGGUUUCGACCUCUUCACACUUAGGAUGCUGGUGGAAUGGCUUUAAACGACCCGUCUUGAACCC
RNAcentral lists this ribosomal RNA (559 nucleotides) under Rhodotorula mucilaginosa. RNAcentral's name for it is "LSU rRNA". It matches the Rfam family "Eukaryotic large subunit ribosomal RNA", at positions 85 to 661 of the family's 3401-position model. The record is from RNAcentral. Lineage: Eukaryota; Fungi; Basidiomycota; Microbotryomycetes; Sporidiobolales; Sporidiobolaceae.